RNAcentral lists this ribosomal RNA (292 nucleotides) under uncultured bacterium. Its description in RNAcentral is "partial 16S ribosomal RNA". It matches the Rfam family "Bacterial small subunit ribosomal RNA", at positions 505 to 796 of the family's 1533-position model. The record is from RNAcentral.
GUGCCAGCAGCCGCGGUAAUACGGAGGGUGCAAGCGUUAUCCGGAUUUAUUGGGUUUAAAGGGUCCGUAGGCGGACUCGUAAGUCAGUGGUGAAAUCUCAUAGCUUAACUAUGAAACUGCCAUUGAUACUGCGGGUCUUGAGUAAGGUAGAGGUAGCUGGAAUAAGUAGUGUAGCGGUGAAAUGCAUAGAUAUUACUUAGAACACCAAUUGCGAAGGCAGGUUACCAUGUCUUAACUGACGCUGAUGGACGAAAGCGUGGGGAGCGAACAGGAUUAGAAACCCCCGUAGUCC